RNAcentral lists this ribosomal RNA (235 nucleotides) under uncultured Actinomycetales bacterium. RNAcentral's name for it is "partial 16S ribosomal RNA". It matches the Rfam family "Bacterial small subunit ribosomal RNA", at positions 97 to 334 of the family's 1533-position model. The record is from RNAcentral. Lineage: Bacteria; Bacillati; Actinomycetota; Actinomycetes; Actinomycetales.
GGCGAACGGGUGAGUAACACGUGGGUAAUCUGCCCUGCACUCUGGGAUAAGCCUGGGAAACUGGGUCUAAUACUGGAUAUGACCUUUCUCCUUAUGGGGUUCGGUGGAAAGUUUUUCGGUGUAGGAUGAGCCCGCGGCCUAUCAGCUUGUUGGUGGGGUGAUGGCCUACCAAGGCGACGACGGGUAGCCGGCCUGAGAGGGUGUACGGCCACAUUGGGACUGAGAUACGGCCCAG